GAACUGUGAUACUAUGAUCACUCUUAUAACAUAAUAAUAAUACUAAUAUUAAUAUUAGUAUCUCACAUCACACAGAAUACACAACAAUAUAUUCUAAACAUUCGGUCUAACAUAAAUCUUUAUAGUGUGAAUAACCAAGAAAAAAAAUCAUGUAAUGAGUCUGGUUUAUUCAUUCUAACUUUAAAUGAUACUUUCACUUUAAAAAUGUUUUGUGUUAAUCAAAACAAACUCACUGCAACUAGAUUUUUGUAACAAUAAUACGUGUGUAGUAUAACCUAGAUCAGUCGAAUCAUUAAAACAAUUGAGCACUGAGAGAAAGUACCAAACAAGUUACUCAUGAAGAUACUUACAUCACCACCAACCAUGACUUUAACAUGAGAUUAACU
RNAcentral lists this long non-coding RNA (386 nucleotides) under Trifolium pratense (red clover). RNAcentral's name for it is "long non-coding RNA (TPRA_LNC005162)". The record is from RNAcentral. Lineage: Eukaryota; Viridiplantae; Streptophyta; Magnoliopsida; Fabales; Fabaceae.